This 1372-nucleotide ribosomal RNA is filed under the name uncultured bacterium. RNAcentral's name for it is "16S ribosomal RNA". It matches the Rfam family "Bacterial small subunit ribosomal RNA", at positions 30 to 1393 of the family's 1533-position model. The record is from RNAcentral.
UGAACGCUGGCGGUAUGCUUAACACAUGCAAGUCGAACGGAAACGAUACUAGCUUGCUAGUAGGCGUCGAGUGGCGGACGGGUGAGUAACGCGUAGGAAUCUGCCUGAUAGUGGGGGAUAGCCCGAAGAAAUUCGGAUUAAUACCGCAUAAUCUAUUCGUAGUAAAGUGGGGGACUUUCGAGCCUCACGCUAUCAGAUGAGCCUGCGUAAGAUUAGCUUGUUGGUAGGGUAAAAGCCUACCAAGGCGACGAUCUUUAGCUGGUCUGAGAGGAUGAUCAGCCACAUCGGGACUGAGACACGGCCCGAACUCCUACGGGAGGCAGCAGUGGGGAAUAUUGGACAAUGGGGGCAACCCUGAUCCAGCAAUACCGCGUGUGUGAAGAAGGCCUGAGGGUUGUAAAGCACUUUCAAUUGUGAAGAAAAGUUAGCGGUUAAUAACCGUUAGCCUUGACGCUAACUUUAGAAGAAGCACCGGCUAACUCCGUGCCAGCAGCCGCGGUAAUACGGAGGGUGCAAGCGUUAAUCGGAAUUACUGGGCGUAAAGCGUGCGUAGGCGGUUUAUUAAGUCAGAUGUGAAAGCCCCGGGCUUAACCUGGGAACUGCAUUUGAAACUGGUCAACUAGAGUAUGGUAGAGGAAAGUGGAAUUUCUGGUGUAGCGGUGAAAUGCGUAGAUAUCAGAAGGAACAUCAAUGGCGAAGGCAGCUUUCUGGACCAAUACUGACGCUGAGGUACGAAAGCGUGGGUAGCAAACAGGAUUAGAUACCCUGGUAGUCCACGCCGUAAACGAUGAUAACUAGCCGUUGGGGGGAUUUACCCUUUAGUGGCGAAGCUAACGCGUUAAGUUAUCCGCCUGGGGAGUACGGCCGCAAGGUUAAAACUCAAAGGAAUUGACGGGGACCCGCACAAGCGGUGGAGCAUGUGGUUUAAUUCGAUGCAACGCGAAGAACCUUACCUGGUCUUGACAUCCUGCGAACUUUCUAGAAAUAGAUUGGUGCCUUCGGGAACGCAGUGACAGGUGCUGCAUGGCUGUCGUCAGCUCGUGUCGUGAGAUGUUGGGUUAAGUCCCGUAACGAGCGCAACCCCUAUCCUUAUUUGCCAGCACAUCAUGGUGGGAACUAUAAGGAGACUGCCGGUGAUAAACCGGAGGAAGGCGGGGACGACGUCAAGUCAUCAUGGCCCUUACGACCAGGGCUACACACGUGCUACAAUGGGAAGGACAAAGAGCCGCGAAGCCGCGAGGUGUAGCUAAUCUCAUAAACCUUUUCGUAGUCCGGAUUGGAGUCUGCAACUCGACUCCAUGAAGUCGGAAUCGCUAGUAAUCGUAGAUCAGAAUGCUACGGUGAAUACGUUCCCGGGUCUUGUACUCACCGC